This 337-nucleotide unclassified non-coding RNA is filed under the name soil metagenome. RNAcentral's name for it is "partial contains 5.8S ribosomal RNA, internal transcribed spacer 2, and large subunit ribosomal RNA". The stretch from base 1 to 120 matches the Rfam family "5.8S ribosomal RNA", at positions 35 to 154 of the family's 154-position model. The record is from RNAcentral.
GAUGAAGAACGUAGCGAAAUGUGAUAAGUAGUGUGAAUUGCAGAAUUCAGUGAAUCAUCGAAUCUUUGAACGCACAUUGCGCCCCAUGGUAUUCCGUGGGGCAUGCCUGUUCGAGCGUCAUUUACCCCCUCAAGCUCCGCUUGGUGUUGGGCGUCUGUCCCGCUUCGCGCGCGGACUCGCCCCAAAGGUAUUGGCAGCGGUCGUGCCAGCUUCUCGCGCAGCACAUUGCGCUUCUCGAGGCACCGGUGGGCCCGCGUCCAUCAAGCUCACCCCCCCAGUUUGACCUCGGAUCAGGUAGGGAUACCCGCUGAACUUAAGCAUAUCAAUAAGCGGAGGA